Dermochelys coriacea (leatherback sea turtle) is the source of this 1279-nucleotide long non-coding RNA. RefSeq lists it as uncharacterized. Lineage: Eukaryota; Metazoa; Chordata; Testudines; Dermochelyidae. The transcript has 3 exons. The record is from RefSeq and is a predicted model, not a curated record.
ACUGUGCUGGAGGCCAAGUCAGGGCUACACGCCCAAGCCAACAGCAGUCCCAACUUGCAUGACCCUCCCCUGGGGCCCAGCAGCGGUAGCCUGUGCUCUGGUCUCUCUCCAUUCCUCCUCUAAACAACUUGGCAUUAUCAAUUUCCCUGCCUCCAGCAGGCCAGAUCAGUGGCUUUAUUCACACAGCACCUUGCAACAGGUCAGCAAGCAUGGUGCUGCUUCGAGCUGAAUUUGACUCCACUGCCACGCUGGCUAAAAAGUGCAAAAUUUGAAUCUGGCUUUCAAGCCCCCCUUUGUUCUGUAUUCUGUAAAGCGUCCCAAUUCAGGUGUUUGCAAAAUAAAUCUGUGACUUCAAGAAAGAAAUCAAAGACUUGUGUAGCUGUUACUUGAAGUAGAGUACAUUGGAGUAAAGAAGACUCUGUGUGAAUUAACAAUGAGACACAAAUGAGCAUGCAUAAGUGUGUGGUUAUGAACAUCUGUUUCAGGUACAUCAUUAGGUCACAAAAAGCCAGAAUCUGCUCCCACUCAAGUCAAUUUGAAUUUUGCAAUUGACUUAAAUAGAAGCAAAUUUGACUCCUUACAGAGGCAUGUGAAAAAAUACUCAUGACCAGAGAGUAUUCCUUUUUGAAAAAAGAGAGUGUAAUCUUAGAGUUGCUUGGACUAGAGAUUUGGAUACGCAACUAUCUCUGACCCAAGGGAAUACAAAUGUAUUUAAUGUUAAAAAAGCAACUAUAGAUCUGAGGCUAGGCUUAUUUAUCAAAAAACACUUUUUCAAAUAUAGGGUCCCCACAUAGGCUAAUGGUAAUGGGCCUCAUAAAUGCUGACUGCUGUUGUAACUGUAACUUCCUUGGUGCUACAUUAGCUCAUAUGUUUUGGGAGUGUCCAGUAUCAAGAAUUUCUGAUACAAGCUGAGUCAAAGGGCCAACUUGAUGCUAAACUGGAGCCCUACUCCUUAAGUUUCACUCUUGGAUAUAUUCCUGAUGCCUCUAGGUUACCUAGUAAAAAAGCAGCGUGGUUCCAAUAUACAGAUUAACGAACAAAUUAAACCUGCAAAAAUGGAAAAAUCGAUCCCCACCAGACAUUGAUGACUGGCUCAGUGACAUGGCAGAAAAUGAAUGACUGACAUUUUUCAGUAGGGGAAUGCCUGAAAAAUUCAAAACAAUUUGGGCUGACUUUUUAUGAUUAAGAUAGAACUUGAAAAAUAGAUAUGUUGCUCCCCCGGUCCUCCCUUAAUCCUAAUCCUCUUUAUUUACUUUAUGUAUUAUGAUUAAUUUGGUAU